Non-coding RNA from Hypoxylon fuscum, 83 nucleotides. NCBI's taxonomy places the organism in Eukaryota, Fungi, Ascomycota, Sordariomycetes, Xylariales, Hypoxylaceae. The record is from the annotation of a GenBank genome assembly.
GCCGUGCUAGAGAAAUGGUUAUCUCAUCGGUCUCCUAAUUAAGAGCAAGCCGAAGAUUCCGGGUUCGAGUCCCGGGCGCGGUG